This 254-nucleotide ribosomal RNA is filed under the name uncultured Bacillus sp. RNAcentral's name for it is "partial 16S ribosomal RNA". It matches the Rfam family "Bacterial small subunit ribosomal RNA", at positions 1127 to 1382 of the family's 1533-position model. Lineage: Bacteria; Bacillati; Bacillota; Bacilli; Caryophanales; Bacillaceae. The record is from RNAcentral.
GAAGGCGAGCACUCUAGACGAACUGCCGUUGACAAAACGGAGAAGGUGGGAUGACGUCAAAUCAUCAUGCCCCUUAUGUUCUGGGCUACACACGUGCUACAAUGGCCGGUACAGACGGACGCAAAGCCGCGAGGUGGAGCAAAUCCUAAAAAGCCGGUCUCAGUUCGGAUUGCAGGCUGCAAUUCGCCUGCAUGAAGUCGGAAUCGCUAGUAAUCGCAGGUCAGCAUACUGCGGUGAAUACGUUCCCGGGCCUU